This is a long non-coding RNA of Manacus vitellinus (golden-collared manakin), 1405 nucleotides long. RefSeq lists it as uncharacterized. NCBI's taxonomy places the organism in Eukaryota, Metazoa, Chordata, Aves, Passeriformes, Pipridae. The transcript has 6 exons. The record is from RefSeq and is a predicted model, not a curated record.
GGACGGGGCCGUGCCGCCCCGAAUCAGGGCUCACACUGCAGAGGGCUGUAGGCGAGAGAGAAAACUUUUCGAGGAGCUCUCGAGCUGCUGUAUCGCACAAAACACACACCAGACCCGGUUUCCUUAUUCAAGCAAAAGUAGAACUUCCCGGUGCUUUGGCAGUUGAGCAGCAGAGGACGCUGAGCGGUGCAAAUGCCCGUCAGGUGAACAAAGUAUCUGACAACAGAGGUGUGACCUGUGUCAAAACCAUAAACGCUGUCUAAAAGUCACAAUAUCCUGGAUUUCUUAUGCUGUGCUUCAUCAUAGCAACAUGAGAGUGAUUCUUCUGACCAGCAAGGGAAAUAAUUUGCAGCCUUGAAAGUGAUUUUGCAAAUGCUGGGUUCAUCUCCAUUUUUGCUACCUGGUACCUACUCUGUGUGCUUCAAAUGAAAAACAGAGGUGACCAUCUCCAUGUCCACGAUAGUAGGGGGAUGUGGAGCUGCUUUGAAAUGCUUCUUCUGUGGCCUGUCCCCUAUGUCAUUAUGGCAGUGACUUUUACCCAAAAGCUUUAAUAAGAGCUUGAUGAGAAAGCUAUGCUCUGAAGAGCCACAUGGUUAAACAGCUCUGGACAGAUGAGGAAGGUUCUUGAAGGAGGUUUAUACUGCAAUUUACAGUGCUUGCCUGAUAGGAAUUAUUUUUUUUUUGUGUGUGUGUGUUACUGCUGACAGAAUUAUAUUAAUAGAAAGUCCAGGAAUGAAAGAAACCAGCAAGAAAAUGAGAAUUUGCACAUACUUGGCUUAAGUGUCCACCAAAGACAUAAAGGGAUCAGGGUCCACUGUGAAGUGUUCAUUGAAUGACUUAAAGAUUUGAAAAUGUGUAGGAACUGUGGUGAUGGCUUCCUUACGUGAAGCAGAAAUAAACAUAAUUGUGCUCAUAUUAAUUAUUAAUUAGACAUUAAAAAUUAAAAGGAAAGUGGAAAUUAUUUUUCCUGAAUGCUGAUCAUGCAGAUUUUUUUUAAAAUCUGAAAUCAUCUGGGUCUUGGAAAUCCUUAAAUUUGAGAAAAAAUUGAUCCCAGCAAAAUGAUGAUCACGCUGGCAUUUGCUUUGCUGUUCUUCUUGGCUGUUAUGUUUUGUUUUCUGGCUUGUUUCUGUAGGGGAGAGGGACAAGUCUGUUCCAUGUCAGGCUUAGUUUUAGCUUGUGUUGGGGCUCUUUUAUUUUCUGUUUGUGAAUUCCUUUUCAAAAUACGUUGUGCUUAAAAUAUACUGGUGUUCUGUUCCACAGAAUGUGCCUGUGGUUACUCUUAGAUGGGAUAUUUUAGAACACUUAAUCUGACUUCUGAAUUGAACACUGUUUUGGGUAUCGAUGAAAGAAAUUCUGCUUGAAAGGUAAAGGACUGGAGCAAAAUAAAAAUGAAGUUGAGAUGACA